AACGAGCGCUGGCGGCAUGCCUAACACAUGCCAGUCGAACGAGACCUUCGGGUCUAGUGGCGCACGGGUGCGUAACGCGUGGGAACCUGCCCUUAGGUUCGGAAUAACUCCCCGAAAGGGGUGCUAAUACCGGAUAAUGUCUUCGGACCAAAGAUUUAUCGCCUUUGGAUGGGCCCGCGUUGGAUUAGCUAGUUGGUAGGGUAAAAGCCUACCAAGGCGACGAUCCAUAGCUGGUCUGAGAGGAUGAUCAGCCACACUGGGACUGAGACACGGCCCAGACUCCUACGGGAGGCAGCAGUGGGGAAUAUUGGACAAUGGGCGAAAGCCUGAUCCAGCAAUGCCGCGUGAGUGAUGAAGGCCUUAGGGUUGUAAAGCUCUUUUACCCGGGAUGAUAAUGACAGUACCGGGAGAAUAAGCGCCGGCUAACUCCGUG
This 433-nucleotide ribosomal RNA is filed under the name uncultured bacterium. RNAcentral's name for it is "partial 16S ribosomal RNA". It matches the Rfam family "Bacterial small subunit ribosomal RNA", at positions 29 to 507 of the family's 1533-position model. The record is from RNAcentral.